GAUGAACGCUGGCGGCGUGCCUAAUACAUGCAAGUCGAGCGAACGGACGAGAAGCUUGCUUCUCUGAUGUUAGCGGCGGACGGGUGAGUAACACGUGGAUAACCUACAUAUAAGACUGGGAUAACUUCGGGAAACCGGAGCUAAUACAGGAUAAUAUUUUGAAACGCAUGGUUCAACAGUGAAAAACGGUCUUGCUGUCACUUAUAGAUGGAACCGCGCUGCAUUAGCUAGUUGGUAAGGUAACGGCUUACCAAGGCAACGAUGCAUAGCCGACCUGAGAGGGUGAUCGGCCACACUGGAACUGAGACACGGUCCAGACUCCUACGGGAGGCAGCAGUAGGGAAUCUUCCGCAAUGGGCGAAAGCCUGACGGAGCAACGCCGCGUGAGUGAUGAAGGUCUUCGGAUCGUAAAACUCUGUUAUUAGGGAAGAACAUAUGUGUAAGUAACUGUUCACAUCUUGACGGUACCUAAUCAGAAAGCCACGGCUAACUACGUG
Molecule: ribosomal RNA, 497 nt
Filed under: uncultured bacterium
Lineage: Bacteria
Description: partial 16S ribosomal RNA
Rfam family: Bacterial small subunit ribosomal RNA
Source: RNAcentral